UAUUGUUCGCCAGAGUACUACAAGCGCUAGCUUAAAACCCAAAGGACUUGGCGGUAUCCCACACCCACCUAGAGGAGCCUGUUCUAUAACCGAUAACCCCCGUUCAACCUCACCACUUCUUGCCAUUACCGUCUAUAUACCGCCGUCGUCAGCUCACCCUGUGAAGGGCUAAAAGUAAGCAAAAUGAAUAAAACUUCAAAACGUCAGGUCGAGGUGUAGCAAAUGAAGUGGAAAGAAAUGGGCUACAUUUUUUUAUAAAAACACACGAAUGGUAAACUGAAAAACACCUAAAGGUGGAUUUAGCAGUAAGAAGAGAUUAGAGUGCUCUUCUGAAAUUGGCUCUGGGAUAAGCACACACCGCCCGUCACUCUCCUCAAUAAAUAAAUUACUUUUUUAUAAAUACACUUCUUCGACAAGAGGAGGCAAGUCGUAACAUGGUAAGUGUACUGGAAAGUGCACUUGGAAU
Molecule: ribosomal RNA, 466 nt
Filed under: Eusphyra blochii
Lineage: Eukaryota; Metazoa; Chordata; Chondrichthyes; Carcharhiniformes; Sphyrnidae
Description: partial 12S small subunit ribosomal RNA
Rfam family: Bacterial small subunit ribosomal RNA
Source: RNAcentral